Molecule: long non-coding RNA, 1594 nt
Organism: Corvus hawaiiensis (hawaiian crow)
Lineage: Eukaryota; Metazoa; Chordata; Aves; Passeriformes; Corvidae
Exons: 3
Source: RefSeq, a predicted model, not a curated record
UUGGACAACCCAGGGUUGCUGAGGAAAAGCCCCUGAACAGGCCCCUGACUGCAGGCAGCCCUGAGAGUCCUUGGCAAGGUAUACAGCUGCCUGGCUCCCCCCCUCAUUAGAGGCCAUCUAGAGGGCCUGGGCGUGAAUCUUUGCAAAAGUAGAUGUAAGUUGGCAUAGUUGAACAAUAAGGGGAGAAUGAUGCUUAAUCGUAUCUGUGUACAUGUCAUUUAUGUGGCCAGCUCUCCGGACUCGGUCCCUAACACCUGUCCUCCUCCUGUCCCCCUGUGCCCCUUUUGUUGGACAAGUCUCAAAUGGCAACGCACAUUCCCAAAGACUAUCUGCUUCCUUAAAUCCAUGGACCAGCUAGUGCUGUCACUCAACAGCUGAAAUGAGCUUUCAGAGCCUAGAAACUAGCAGGAGUGACAAACAAAUCGAUUUGAAUCUGGAAAUAGGUGAGUUCCACCCACCCACUGCUGCUGAUGCAGAGACUGGGGCUCAGGGCAUCUGCGCAGCCCUUCCCUUUGGCACUGAUCCUGCACUGGAAUGUUGUGUUGUUGCCAAACCGGGCCUCAAACCAGGAGAAGGUAAGCCCUGACCAUUUGCCCCUGACCCACCCACAGUGUGUUAUCUGGAGCGUGUGCCUCAGCUGGUGUCACUUGAGUUUCACCAGAGUUGCAAGUUGGCUCCUGCUCUGGGCGAUUCCGAGUGACCAUCACAUCAGUUCUGCACUAAGCACCGUUUAGCCAGAUCCAGAGAUCUGGCCACAUAGUGACUUCUGAACAGAAAAUCAAAAUGCAGGAAAAGUGCCAGGACCACUGACGGGCCUGGGUACAGCACGGUCUUUGUGGGUCACUGUCACUCCAGGCCCUUACAGUCUCUCCUCAUCUUUCUUGUAGGCUCCCUUCAGGUGCAGGAGCCAUUGCUCACUGGUGUUUUUGACUAUUCUCUGCCAAGGAAAUGAGUUGAAUUUCCUUGUCAAAUCUAAUAGGCUUUUAUACUUGGGCUUCUCUGCUGUGGGAUUCAUACUUAGAGACUGGUGUUGGUGUCUGGACGCUUCCAGAAGGUGGAUGUUAUCCCUGGAUGUAUAAAGAAAACGCCUAUCCAUCAUCUCUCAGGCAAUGAGAGCGGUGCAGGUGUCUGGCAUGGCAGCCUUUCCACCAGUUCACUGGUUGAGCUGGUGCCAAGCGAGGCCGUAUGGAGCUGAUGACUUCCUGCCUGUGUUGACAUAGGCCCUAGCCCAGUGUGAUGAACUGGAGACUGAAAUCGAAUACAUGACAGAGUGGCUGGAUCCAUCCUUGGUGUAUGGAGAAGCUAAAGGCUGAGAGGGGACACUGUCAGUAAUACAGAAAAUACUACCCUGUGUACAGAACGCAUCUCUGAACGCCUCUGAACAGACUGUGCUGCCUCUUAGCUGGACACUCCCACCCAAAUGGCUGACUUGGAAAAGAUAAGACAGACAGUGGGUCUCCUGUUGCUGCGGACCGUUACCUCCCGUCGAGACUCUUUUACUUUGUGACCUGCAGCUUCUUUUGUACAUUGCAACUCUGUUGUGGCUUUAGUUUGUUCUCUGUUUGUGUAAUAAAGGUGGAGUAUGCAGGACUGU